CUCAAAGGAAUUGACGGGGCCCGCACAAGCGGUGGAGCAUGUGGUUUAAUUCGAUGAUACGCGAGGAACCUUACCUGGGCUCAAAUGUAUGUUGACGUAUUCUGAAAGGGAUACUUCUUCGGACAAUAUACAAGGUGCUGCAUGGUUGUCGUCAGCUCGUGCCGUGAGGUGUCGGGUUAAGUCCCAUAACGAGCGCAACCCCUAUCAUUAGUUGCCAUCAGGUCAAGCUGGGGACUCUAAUGAAACUGCCUACGCAAGUAGUGAGGAAGGUGGGGAUGACGUCAAAUCAGCACGGCCCUUACGUCCAGGGCUACACACGUGCUACAAUGGUCGGUACAAAGGGUUGCCAAGCCGCGAGGUGGAGCUAAUCCCAUAAAACCGAUCGUAGUCCGGAUCGCAGUCUGCAACUCGACUGCGUGAAGUCGGAAUCGCUAGUAAUCGUGAAUCAGAAUGUCACGGUGAAUACGUUCCCGGGCCUU
RNAcentral lists this ribosomal RNA (479 nucleotides) under uncultured Sphingobacteriales bacterium. RNAcentral's name for it is "partial 16S ribosomal RNA". It matches the Rfam family "Bacterial small subunit ribosomal RNA", at positions 900 to 1382 of the family's 1533-position model. The record is from RNAcentral. Lineage: Bacteria; Pseudomonadati; Bacteroidota; Sphingobacteriia; Sphingobacteriales.